UGGAAAACCUUCGGCUCAACCGAAGAAGUGCAUCGGAAACUGGGAAACUUGAGUGCAGAAGAGGACAGUGGAACUCCAUGUGUAGCGGUGAAAUGCGUAGAUAUAUGGAAGAACACCAGUGGCGAAGGCGGCUGUCUGGUCUGUAACUGACGCUGAGGCUCGAAAGCAUGGGUAGCAAACAGGAUUAGAUACCCUGGUAGUCCAUGCCGUAAACGAUGAGUGCUAGGUGUUGGAGGGUUUCCGCCCUUCAGUGCCGCAGCUAACGCAUUAAGCACUCCGCCUGGGGAGUACGACCGCAAGGUUGAAACUCAAAGGAAUUGACGGGGGCCCGCACAAGCGGUGGAGCAUGUGGUUUAAUUCGAAGCAACGCGAAGAACCUUACCAGGUCUUGACAUCCUUUGACCACUCUAGAGAUAGAGCUUUUCCUUCGGGGACAAAGUGACAGGUGGUGCAUGGUUGUCGUCAGCUCGUGUCGUGAGAUGUUGGGUUAAGUCCCGCAACGAGCGCAACCCUUAUUUCUAGUUGCCAGCAUUUAGUUGGGCACUCUAGU
RNAcentral lists this ribosomal RNA (550 nucleotides) under Lactobacillus sp. RNAcentral describes it as "bacterial SSU rRNA". It matches the Rfam family "Bacterial small subunit ribosomal RNA", at positions 593 to 1144 of the family's 1533-position model. The record is from RNAcentral. Lineage: Bacteria; Bacillati; Bacillota; Bacilli; Lactobacillales; Lactobacillaceae.